UUUAUAUAGAAAGGGAGCUCGUAUGCGAGCUGAGAGGAAGUAAUCUAACUUCGACCUGUAUAACCUGAUUUGGGUAAUGCCAACGUAGGGAUCUAGCCACUAUUUUUG
Coprobacillus sp. CAG:183 is the source of this 108-nucleotide non-coding RNA. The record is from Rfam. Lineage: Bacteria; Bacillati; Bacillota; Erysipelotrichia; Erysipelotrichales; Coprobacillaceae.